UACGUAGGGUGCAGGCGUUAAUCGGAAUUACUGGGCGUAAAGCGUGCGCAGGCGGUUUGCUAAGACAGGUGUGAAAUCCCCGGGCUUAACCUGGGAAUGGCAUUUGGGACUGCAAGGCUGGAGUGUGGCAGAGGAGACUGGAAUUCCCGGUGUAGCAGUGAAAUGCGUAGAUAUCGGGAGGAAUACCGAUGGCGAAGGCAGGUCUCUGGGCUGACACUGACGCUCAUGCACGAAAGCGUGGGGAGCAAACAGG
RNAcentral lists this ribosomal RNA (253 nucleotides) under uncultured bacterium. RNAcentral's name for it is "partial 16S ribosomal RNA". It matches the Rfam family "Bacterial small subunit ribosomal RNA", at positions 524 to 776 of the family's 1533-position model. The record is from RNAcentral.